This 871-nucleotide ribosomal RNA is filed under the name uncultured bacterium. RNAcentral's name for it is "bacterial SSU rRNA". It matches the Rfam family "Bacterial small subunit ribosomal RNA", at positions 26 to 898 of the family's 1533-position model. The record is from RNAcentral.
AGGAUGAACGCUAGCGGCAGGCUUAAUACAUGCAAGUCGAGGGGCAGCGGGGUAGCAAUACUGCCGGCGACCGGCGCACGGGUGCGUAACACGUAUGCAACCUACCUUAAACUGGGGGAUAGCCCGGGGAAACUCGGAUUAAUACCCCAUAACACAGUGAGGCUUCAUGGCUUUAUUGUUAAAGAUUUAUCGGUUUAAGAUGGGCAUGCGUUCGAUUAGCUAGUUGGUAAGGUAAUGGCUUACCAAGGCUACGAUCGAUAGGGGGUCUGAGAGGAUGAUCCCCCACACUGGUACUGAGAUACGGACCAGACUCCUACGGGAGGCAGCAGUAGGGAAUAUUGGUCAAUGGAGGCAACUCUGAACCAGCCAUGCCGCGUGUAGGAAGAAGGCGUUCUGCGUUGUAAACUACUUUUGAUUGGGAACAAAUGACUCUUGCGAGAGUAGCUGAGUGUACCAAUAGAAUAAGCCACGGCUAACUACGUGCCAGCAGCCGCGGUAAUGCGUAGGUGGCAAGCGUUGUCCGGAUUUAUUGGGUUUAAAGGGUGCGUAGGCGGCUUGAUAAGUCAGUGGUGAAAGCCGUUCGCUUAACGAUCGAACUGCCAUUGAUACUGCCAGGCUUGAGUAUAGAUGAGGUAGGCGGAAUUGACAGUGUAGCGGUGAAAUGCAUAGAUAUUGUCAAGAACACCAAUUGCGAAGGCAGCUUACUAAGUUAUAACUGACGCUGAGGCACGAAAGUGCGGGGAUCAAACAGGAUUAGAUACCCUGGUAGUCCGCACCGUAAACGAUGAUCACUCGCUGUGUGCGAUAAACAGUACGCGGCCAAGCGAAAGCGAUAAGUGAUCCACCUGGGGAGUACGCCCGCAAGGUUGAA